GGAGGGUCCUGGCUGCCUCGCCCCCAGGUCAGGCACAGCUGUGGCUGUGGGCUGGAGCUCCCCGGUUCUUCUUGUUGCCUCGCUCUUCCUGUCGGCAGGUUGGGCUCCGUGGCGGUCUCGGGGCAGAGAACGGGUGUGAGCAGACAAGCCGGCGUGGACAUCUCUUGCACUGAAUUCUAUUGGUCAAAGUGCAUCAAAGGCCCCUGGGGAGGGGGCUUCGAGGGUGGGGGGUGUGGACUCUACCUCCUGAAGGUGGCACCUUCAGAGUCACACACAGGGGAGAGGGGCCGCCCCUCAAACAACCCCGGGCGCCCUCGGACGCGAGCCGGCCACCUUCUCGGCGCACUGGGUUCCUCUUCAGCCGCCACUUGUGUCGGGCCCUUGUGCCAGAUGACCCGGUUUAGCGUGGCAGAGAUUUCUUCUCAACAAGUUCGCGAGGGCAGGACUCAGGGAACCUCCAGCCCCUUCCCUGCACCUGCCUCCCCCUUUCCAAGCUCUCAGACCACUGCCACGUUCGGCCCCGGCUGUCCCUGUGGAUUUGGGCCACCCUCGGUCUCCGCUUUCUGCACAGCUGGCCUGGGAGGGCACUGCUGGCUGUGGGGCGACCCGGCUCCACCCCGUGGGCCUCUGCCCCGUUUUCCGGUCCUCGCAGCCCAGCCCUAUGAGAAGGAUGCUUUCUCCGCAAGCGAGGCUCCCUGGGAAACCGACUGGGGCCUGAGGGGACAGACUUUUGCCGGUCAAGUGGGAAAAACUGUACCCGGAAGUACCGGAGAUGGGCUUAUUUAGAGUAAUUAAGGAAAAGGUGCAAACCUUGGUUUCCUUUCAUUGUUAAGGCUGCGAGGAGACCCCAGCCCAAGAGGAUAACCCACAGACAGAUGCCAGGUGCACACCAAGUGAGAGAGGCUGUGCCUCACGACGGGUCUGCGCCACCAGUGGGGGGCUGGUUUGGACGUGGAGGGCGAGCAGAGAAGGCGCGGAGCCCCUUAGCCGUGAUGCAUGACGAAGGGGGGGAGCAGCUCCACUGCCGGGCCCCCCAGCAUUGAAGGCGGCGUCUCGGGGCGUAUGUGCACACCCACGUUCAUAACGGAAUUAGUCACGAGCCUCAAGGUAGAAGCCACCGGAGGAUGAGCGGACAAGAACAAUGUGGCCCAUCCACACGGUGGGGGGGUCAUUCGGCCUCAUAAAGGGAGAACGUUCCGACACCUGCUGCGACAGCACGGGUGCCCCUGCGGGACGCGACGCUGAGUGAAGUGAGCCGCCACGGAGGACAAGUACUGCGUGAUCCCGCUCAGAGGAGGGACGCGGCCCAGCCACAGUCGUAGAGACACAGAAGGGACGCUGGGCGGGGGCCCGUGCUUCACGGGGACAGCGCUUCCGUUUGGGAAGGUGGAGAAGUCCUGGGGACGGACGGCCGUGGUCGUUUCGCUGGUGAAUGAGCCCCAUGCCCCUGAGCCGAACACCUAAAAGUGGUUCAGGUGGCACCUUUUACGUGAUGUGUGUUUCCACCACAAUUUAUAAAAGUGACCCUCAGAAACCGACACCAACGGCAAAGGUACUUGGGACUCAACAGGGGGCGCUGUGCUAAUGGCCUCACCUGGCCCAGGCUGGCCCGCUCACCCUUCAAGCCACAGGGGGAGUAAUCCUGGCCGAGGCCUCCGCCCCACAGCGCAUGUCCCUCCUCUGGGCUGCCGGCCACGUGGCUGCGGCUUGUCACGUGACCUAGUCACGUGACCUUAUGGUUCCGCGAGCGCUUGUCCGUGGCUCCUUCCAAGUCCGGCCUAGCUCUGGGGUUCCCCGAAUGCACAGCGGAAGCCCGGCAAACGCCGGCUGCAGACAUGGAGACAGGAGGUGAGGAAAGGAAACGUCUCCAGGGGCCCCCCGCUCAGCUCGGGCUGGUGGGCGAGGCCAGCACGGCCCCGCUCCUGCGCGACGCCAGGCCGCUGGCCGUGCGGACAAGCGCUUCUCAGCCUGGGGCACCGCAGCCAAACUGCUCCUACUCCCUCGGGAAGCACCUUCCACGGCCGCCUGCCGUGCGCACCUGCCGAAGGGAGCGGAGUUCGGGUUCAGGGGCGGUGGGGGUGUGUGAUCAGAGGAAGACACGGAGGCUGGGACAGGUGCAGGGAAUUCCUCCGGGGCCACACAGUCGGGGCGCAGGCGGCUUUCAGCCCCGCCGGUGCUGCCUCCCCAGGCCCUGCGCGGGCGCUCCGGCCACACGUCCUGUGUUCGGCUGUGCGCGGCACAACUUUGCCCAGAACCCCCUCCCGGGGAGCAGACGGUGAGCGCUCACCCACCCUCGCCAGCCCCCAGCACACUGCCUGGCACAGACUCACUUCCCGAUUGGAUGCACGGGGCAGGGGGCAGGACAGUGACUGAACCAGUGAGCUGAGAUCCCCCCCAGGAAAGCCGGUUAAGCAUCAGGAUCCAGCCCCCUCCCCGCAAGAUUCUCACUCAGGAAUCUGCCUUUUAAGCAAGUGCCCGGGGCGUUCUGGUGCCCAGGACCCAGACCGCCCUCUGAGAGGCCCAGAGACCAGAAGAGGGUCAUGGGGCAGGGCACUCGACCCGCAUUCUGGGGGCAGCGGGGACAGCACUGAAGGUGUUGGAGCCUGGGCGGGAGCAGCCAUCCAGAACGGCGCUUGGCGAAGAUUGCUUCCUUGCCUCGUGAUGUCUUCCUCCUCUCUCUUUUUAUUUUUUUGUCACCGACACUGAUGAACAAGACAGAUUCAUGACAAACACCAGGCCGCAGCCUGGGGCUGCCGGUUCACUGCCCGGUGUUGCUGCCUCCCUGACAGCAGGCGGGCCGAAAUGCCCUUCCGAAAUGGCUUGUUAGCACAGUUAGCCCUUUGUCCGGGGCUCUCCUCUGCGGUAAUUGGGCCUUUACUCUGCUGCACUUCCUGGCCACGGAACUGUGAGCUGUCAGGCAAGGCUGUGAAUCCGCGGAAUGGACAGCGGGGCUCGUUCUUCCCAGGCAUCCCGCCCCGUGGGCACCCGCGGGACCCCAGAAAGCAGGCAAACAGGAGGGGGCCGCCCACGAGACAAGACGAGGUCUCCCCCCACCCCUCCCCGACCCAGGGGUUUGGGCAGAACCCUCUUCCUUCGCUGCGUGUUCCUGCUGUCACGCCGGGCUCGCCACCAACCCUGUUACCGCAAGGAGACAACGACAGCGGCUUCUAGCUUCGUGCCUCAUCGCCCUGCAUGGAUUUUAGAAGAAGGCUCGUCUGGAGGCACGUGGAGAAUAACCCGCCAGAGGGGGGUCUCGGUCUACCUUCGAGGACCCCCGUGAUCGCAUCGAGCCCCCACGCAUCGCGCGGAACAGCCUUGCUAUGGCAAAGCGGGCUGGCGAGCAUCUCUGAGACGUUUAACAAUGAAAACACCGUCCACGUCCACAGAGGAAAACUUGCCUAAAACAAAGGCUUGGAAAGGCACGUUAGAGGAACGCACGCGUUACAGAUGAAAGAAAAGUUACCCGGAGGGAAUUCAGGCCAAAAGCGCCAAAUCUCCGUUAAAGGAGAAAGUCGGCUCCGUGCUCACAGAACCCCACGGGCCCAGGCCAUUUGUCCCCCCGAGAUGACCAGACCUCUGGAGCUUCCACGGUGAUGUUUGGCUGUGCGGCUCUGGGCUUGUGGGGGCCUCGUCCACCUGCUCCGUCCCCCUCCCGCGGGAGGGAUGCAGGAGCGAGAGAACGGGGGACACGCAGCGGCUCGCAGCUCCCCUGCUCAUACCCGAUGGCCCAGAGCGAGCCCGUGAGCAACGGGGGAGGGGAGGUCAUGCUGUCCACGGUGGGGGGGUGGGGGCAGUCCCGCUGCAGGACGUCUGCUGAUGUCACGCGCGUCCCCAGCGUUGCCGCGGAAGGGUUUUAUUCCCUGCUAAGCUGUCACCGCAGAUACGGGCAGGAGAUGACUCUGUUUACAUGAUAGUAACUCCGAGAUUGAGUGUGAGUUCCACGGGUUCGGCUGGAGGCAGGUGGCUUGUGAGAGUGGCCGCGACAAAGUGGACGGGGAAGCCACGUUUCUAUUCUUCCGGCGGCCGAGCCUGAAGCAUGGGAGAACCGUGGCCGCCGUGCAUACAGCAGGUGUCACAGGCAACGGCCACGCGGGAUUGAUCCUGGAGCUCGGAUCCUCUCCGCGGGGCAGGGAGCGUAGUGGGGGGACGGGGGAGCAAGCAGGUCUCCUCACCUCCAAGGCAGGCCACACGCUGUGGCUACAAGUGUCAGCAGCCAUACGGUGGUGGGACGGGGACGGGGCUGCGAGACGAGGUGGGGGAGGGGAGGAGGAGCAGCUCACAGUCACUGCUCAGGUGGAGACCCCCAGGUGCCCCCAGGUGACAACUUUAGGUAUAAAUGUGGUCUUUGCCGGAAGCACAGGAAACACAGGCCUAUGGGACAUGAUGUACGGGGGGCUUCGGUCCCAGGAAGCAGGAGAGGAGGACAGACAGAAGGACGCAUCAUCGAGCACGGGGAGCCUUCAGCUCAGGGGGCGGCAGUGGGAGAAGCAGUGUCCAUGUCCCCGGAGUCCGGAGGGGCUGGUCCCAGCAGAGGAGGACCGUGUUUGGAGACAGGCCCUUUCCUUACGUAAUGGGCUCAGAGAGGUCAUAUGGAUGAGCCCUAGCCCGUGGCUGAUGUCCUCACAGGGAGAGGGAACGAGGACACAGACAGACGGACGGACGGGAACACGGCACACAGGGAGGAGGCCUCAGGAGGAACCGGACCCGCAGCCUCCCUGAUCGCGGGCCUCUGGCCUCCGCAACGUGGGAAAGUGUCUGUGGUCCGAGCCCCGGCCCGAGGGCUCUGCCACGGCAUCCUGAGCGGACUCGAGUGCCUUCCAGGACAUUCUGUCUGGGGAGAGGACCCACCGGACGUUACCCACCAAGCCCUGCCACUCGACAGUCCACGGUGUGCCACGUGGGACGUGCGUGUGUGGCUGCUGCCAGGUGUCCUGAUGUCCCGUGUCGGCCUCGGUGGCCGGGCGCCGUCAGGCGGGGCUGCGUGAGGUCGGGUGCCACCUGGACGCCGGAGAAGAGCCGCUGGAGGACCAGCGGCCGGCGCAGUGCGUGGACGGCGGUUCCCACGGUGACCAUGACCGCGAAAUAGAAACAACUUCUACACGUUUCACAUUAUCAGAAGGACAACACUGAGAAGAAAAUUGAAAAAAAGAAAAAGAAAAAAAUCAGGCUA
RNA transcript from Felis catus (domestic cat), 5170 nucleotides. RefSeq lists it as uncharacterized. NCBI's taxonomy places the organism in Eukaryota, Metazoa, Chordata, Mammalia, Carnivora, Felidae. The transcript has 3 exons. The record is from RefSeq and is a predicted model, not a curated record.